UCAGCCAAUCAGCGCCGGGCUGCUCCUGCAAGGCGUCGCGUGCUGCGUGGGCACGUGGCGGCAGCGCUGCUCCCGUUUGCUCCCAUUUACCCCCAUUUGUCCUCAUUUACCGCCUCAGCCCACAGCUCGUGCCCCGUACCCUGCUUCCUUUGGGCCUCCACAGCCCGCAGUGCCAAGCUUUGUGUAGUUAAAGCACUUGAGCCCUGUGGAUUCGUUUGAUAUUGAAGUGUUUUGCUUUCCGUGCUUCCUCAUUUCUGGCUGCUGCAUAUACAUCCUGGGGCAAUGGAGAAAUGACAUAUUCAAUGGACAGGGCACUAUAAUUCAUUGUUCCGGUGACAUCUGUGAUAGACUGUGGAUCAAUGGCCGCGCUGCUGGUGUCAAAAUGAUCAUUGUCUUAAAAAUAGGAAUAGACACAAAAAUUAUCACCACCAUCCAUAAUCGUGUUAUUUGCUUUGAGAAGAGGGAACAAGACCAGCAAGUGAAACCUCCUCUGUUGAUGUGUGCUCUAAGAAAUGGAAGGGUGGGAGAAGAAAGCUGAAGGUGGGACUUUCAGUUGUCUGCUACCUUCAGGAAAACAAUCUGUUCAAUAAAGUAAAGCCAUUGUCAUCCA
Molecule: long non-coding RNA, 610 nt
Filed under: Coturnix japonica (Japanese quail)
Lineage: Eukaryota; Metazoa; Chordata; Aves; Galliformes; Phasianidae
Description: lncRNA (ENSCJPG00005009507.1)
Source: RNAcentral